AUCCUAGGGAUAGCUCUUUUCAAGUAGAGCAUGAGACUCUCAAUUCUUAAGGCUGUGGGUUCGAGUCUCACCUAGGGGA
Molecule: non-coding RNA, 79 nt
Organism: Podarcis lilfordi (Lilford's wall lizard)
Lineage: Eukaryota; Metazoa; Chordata; Lepidosauria; Squamata; Lacertidae
Source: the annotation of a GenBank genome assembly